CCUUCUGCUAUAAGGCUGCAUCAGGAGGAGGAUCAUCUGCUUCCAGACCCAGUUGACCUUGAAUAACAAACCGUGGAAAGCAAAGGCCUGGAUAAGAGAGGACUAUUCUACUACAUUGUGACUUGUGUUGUAAGGAUCUGUAUUGUUUAGAGAGGGACUAAAACGCAUCAGCUGAAACACCCCUUCAAAUGUGUAUGGGAGAUUCUCUCCAGGACACUUGGACUCUUCACUCAGUGUUAUUAUCUGAUAAGAAAGGACCUACAUCCAGAAGCCCACACUGUCACUCAAGCUCUCUCCAUGCCAGCUAUCCUUGAAAGUGACCUAACAGUGUGGAUCCGUGCCCACUGCUCUGGGGACACCUCUGCUCCCUGGCUCACUGGAAUCCAUAGCAAGGCUCUGCUGUGCUCAGUGACCCAGUUGCCAGUUGGCUUUGGUCAAGCUUCAGGAUUUAAGAUUUUGUCACCUUCUUAGUCUCAAAUGUCCACAUCACCAUGUCAUUCCCUACUUCACUGUAACUACUUAUACCUCACAGAACCUGGAGAAUAUACAGGACCUGGAGAGUGUAGAAAAGUCUUUACAAAAGUGAAUAAUCUGACUUUUAAGAACUAUACUUCCCUACUUUUUAGUAUUCAUUUCUUUGAGAACUUUUGCUGUUUUCCAGAUUUUACAUGGCCAAUGUGAGAAUAAUCCCCUUUACUGAGCUUUCUAACAAGUUGUAAACUUAUUUGAACAGAUCUUUGAACCUA
Canis lupus familiaris (dog) is the source of this 746-nucleotide long non-coding RNA. RefSeq lists it as uncharacterized. NCBI's taxonomy places the organism in Eukaryota, Metazoa, Chordata, Mammalia, Carnivora, Canidae. The transcript is spliced from 2 exons. The record is from RefSeq and is a predicted model, not a curated record.